ACUGCCCUGUGUUUUGUCUUAACCAAGGCCCUUUGGAAGAACUUGUAGGGACUGAACUCUACCUCUGGGUGCCAUCAUUUUAAACAUAUCCUUGUGAUCUUGAAUUCAUACACAGGAGGAUGCCCUUCUGCAAGUAAUGGAGAGUCUCCCCCCAAGAGUCUUCCCCCAGGUCUUUGAGGUCUGAGGAUCUUGCCUGACAGUUCUCUGUACUCUGGUCUCCCUCCCAUGGAGCGUGGGUAUCUGACACCCAUUUCUGACCUAUGUGGUCCUCAGGCAAACAUGUGCUGUACAGGAAGAAGUCCGAGAAAGGCUAAAGGAUGCAGGGACUGGUUUUGCUUUAGGUGGAGGGUCAGUUUACGGCCUGCCCAACCCAGCCCUGGCCUCAUCUUCGAGCCUCAGAGGGAAGCCUGUCUGUCACAUGGACCUACAGUUGCCACCAAUAACCAGCAUCCAUACCACGUCUGCAUGUACCAGUGCGAUAGAUGA
Molecule: long non-coding RNA, 486 nt
Filed under: Cricetulus griseus (Chinese hamster)
Lineage: Eukaryota; Metazoa; Chordata; Mammalia; Rodentia; Cricetidae
Description: lncRNA (ENSCGRG00000025944.1)
Source: RNAcentral